CCUACGGGAGGCAGCAGUAGGGAAUAUUGCUCAAUGGGGGAAACCCUGAAGCAGCAACGCCGCGUGGAGGAUGAAGGUUUUCGGAUUGUAAACUCCUUUUGUUAGAGACGAUAAUGACGGUAUCUAACGAAUAAGCACCGGCUAAAACCGUGCCAGCAGCCGCGGGAAUACGGAGGGUGCAAGCGUUACGCGGAAUCACUGGGCGUAAAGAGCGCGUAGGCGGGAUAGCAAGUCAGAUGUGAAAUCCUAUGGCUUAACCAUAGAACUGCAUUUGAAACUGUUAUUCUAGAGUAUGGGAGAGGUAGGUGGAAUUCUUGGUGUAGGGGUAAAAUCCGUAGAGAUCAAGAGGAAUACUCAUUGCGAAGGCGACCUGCUAGAACAUAACUGACGCUGAUGCGCGAAAGCGUGGGGAGCAAACAGGAUUAGAUACCCUUGUAGUC
RNAcentral lists this ribosomal RNA (440 nucleotides) under uncultured bacterium. Its description in RNAcentral is "partial 16S ribosomal RNA". It matches the Rfam family "Bacterial small subunit ribosomal RNA", at positions 338 to 795 of the family's 1533-position model. The record is from RNAcentral.